This 603-nucleotide ribosomal RNA is filed under the name Colletotrichum lupini. RNAcentral describes it as "partial 28S ribosomal RNA". It matches the Rfam family "Eukaryotic large subunit ribosomal RNA", at positions 1 to 626 of the family's 3401-position model. The record is from RNAcentral. Lineage: Eukaryota; Fungi; Ascomycota; Sordariomycetes; Glomerellales; Glomerellaceae.
GUUGACCUCGGAUCAGGUAGGAAUACCCGCUGAACUUAAGCAUAUCAAUAAGCGGAGGAAAAGAAACCAACAGGGAUUGCCCCAGUAACGGCGAGUGAAGCGGCAACAGCUCAAAUUUGAAAUCUGGCCCCAGGCCCGAGUUGUAAUUUGCAGAGGAUGCUUUUGGCGCGGUGCCUUCCGAGUUCCCUGGAACGGGACGCCAUAGAGGGUGAGAGCCCCGUACGGUUGGACACCAAGCCUUUGUAAAGCUCCUUCGACGAGUCGAGUAGUUUGGGAAUGCUGCUCUAAAUGGGAGGUACAUUUCUUCUAAAGCUAAAUAUUGGCCAGAGACCGAUAGCGCACAAGUAGAGUGAUCGAAAGAUGAAAAGCACUUUGGAAAGAGGGUUAAACAGCACGUGAAAUUGUUAAAAGGGAAGCGCUUGUGACCAGACUUGCGUCCGGUGAAUCACCCAGCUCUCGCGGCUGGGGCACUUCGCCGGCACAGGCCAGCAUCAGCUUGCCGUCGGGGACAAAAGCUUCAGGAACGUGGCUCCUCUCGGGGAGUGUUAUAGCCUGUUGCAUAAUACCCUUCGGCGGGCUGAGGUACGCGCUCCGCAAGGAUGC